UACAGAGGGUGCGAGCGUUAAUCGGAAUGACUGGGCGUAAAGGGCGCGUAGGCGGGAAUAUAAGUUAGAUGUGAAAGGCCUGGGCUCAACCUAGGUUGGUCAUUUAAUACUGUAUUUCUAGAGAGAAGUAGAGGGCAGUAGAAUUCCCGGAGUAGCGGUGAAAUGCGUAGAUAUCGGGAGGAAUACCAGUGGCGAAGGCGACUGUCUGGACUUUUACUGACGCUGAGGCGCGAAAGCGUGGGGAGCAAACAGG
This 253-nucleotide ribosomal RNA is filed under the name uncultured bacterium. RNAcentral describes it as "partial 16S ribosomal RNA". It matches the Rfam family "Bacterial small subunit ribosomal RNA", at positions 524 to 776 of the family's 1533-position model. The record is from RNAcentral.